CGCUAUUUGACUCUUUAAAUAUGCUUUAACAGACAUUGUUUGUUCAUCUUCCAAGAAAACAUCCUCUCAAAAAAGAAAUCCAUCCUCUCAAAAAAAAAAAAAACCUCCAAGAAAACAUGGCUACAGGCAUCGAUCGUGUACUUUUUUUCAUUGCAAUAUUAUGCGUUGCUUCCAUUUUGACUCCAGGUGGAGCAACAAAUGAAGACAAACUCAUUCCCGGUCCGACUCCCAAGCUUGCGCAUUGUUUUCGUGGUGUGUCGUGUCCAGUUGGUUGCAUACAGAAGUGUGCAGGUCUAGGUCUAGGUCAACCAGGCCAUUGUCAAGGAAACCAAUGUUGUUGUGCUGCAAUAUAACACUAUAGUUUAUGGCUUCCACUAUUUUUAUGGCUUCCAUCAAUGAUAGUUAGAAAUAAAUACUAAUGGAAAACCAUAUCUUUAUGGUAAUUUAUUAUGUAUGAACAAUCAUGUAUGAAUUAAUAUAUCACUGCUAGUUUGAGAAAUAUACAUGGGUGAUUGUGUUUGUUGUA
Molecule: long non-coding RNA, 526 nt
Organism: Medicago truncatula (barrel medic)
Lineage: Eukaryota; Viridiplantae; Streptophyta; Magnoliopsida; Fabales; Fabaceae
Exons: 2
Source: RefSeq, a predicted model, not a curated record